GCGAACGGGUGAGUAACACGUGGGCAAUCUGCCCUUCACUCUGGGACAAGCCCUGGAAACGGGGUCUAAUACCGGAUAACACCGGCUUCCGCAUGGGGGCUGGUUAAAAGCUCCGGCGGUGAAGGAUGAGCCCGCGGCCUAUCAGCUUGUUGGUGGGGUAAUGGCCUACCAAGGCGACGACGGGUAGCCGGCCUGAGAGGGCGACCGGCCACACUGGGACUGAGACACGGCCCAGACUCCUACGGGAGGCAGCAGUGGGGAAUAUUGCACAAUGGGCGAAAGCCUGAUGCAGCGACGCCGCGUGAGGGAUGACGGCCUUCGGGUUGUAAACCUCUUUCAGCAGGGAAGAAGCGAAAGUGACGGUACCUGCAGAAGAAGCGCCGGCUAACUACGUGCCAGCAGCCGCGGUAAUACGUAGGGCGCAAGCGUUGUCCGGAAUUAUUGGGCGUAAAGAGCUCGUAGGCGGCUUGUCACGUCGGGUGUGAAAGCCCGGGGCUUAACCCCGGGUCUGCAUCCGAUACGGGCAGGCUAGAGUGUGGUAGGGGAGAUCGGAAUUCCUGGUGUAGCGGUGAAAUGCGCAGAUAUCAGGAGGAACACCGGUGGCGAAGGCGGAUCUCUGGGCCAUUACUGACGCUGAGGAGCGAAAGCGUGGGGAGCGAACAGGAUUAGAUACCCUGGUAGUCCA
RNAcentral lists this ribosomal RNA (685 nucleotides) under Streptomyces sp. KS4. Its description in RNAcentral is "bacterial SSU rRNA". It matches the Rfam family "Bacterial small subunit ribosomal RNA", at positions 98 to 797 of the family's 1533-position model. Lineage: Bacteria; Bacillati; Actinomycetota; Actinomycetes; Kitasatosporales; Streptomycetaceae. The record is from RNAcentral.